GACGAACGCUGGCGGCGUGCUUAACACAUGCAAGUCGAACGGUAAGGCCCUUCGGGGUACACGAGUGGCGAACGGGUGAGUAACACGUGGGUGAUCUGCCCUGCGCUUCGGGAUAAGCCUGGGAAACUGGGUCUAAUACCGGAUAGGACCACUGCCUGCAUGGGGGGUGGUGGAAAGCUUUUGCGGUGUGGGAUGGGCCCGCGGCCUAGCAGCUUGUUGGUGGGGUGAUGGCCUACCAAGGCGACGACGGGUAGCCGGCCUGAGAGGGUGACCGGCCACACUGGGACUGAGAUACGGCCCAGACUCCUACGGGAGGCAGCAGUGGGGAAUAUUGCACAAUGGGCGCAAGCCUGAUGCAGCGACGCCGCGUGAGGGAUGACGGCCUUCGGGUUGUAAACCUCUUUCAGCACCGACGAAGCGCAAGUGGCAGUAGGUGCAGAAGAAGGACCGGCCAACUACGUGCCAGCCGCCGCCGUAA
This 478-nucleotide ribosomal RNA is filed under the name uncultured bacterium. RNAcentral describes it as "partial 16S ribosomal RNA". It matches the Rfam family "Bacterial small subunit ribosomal RNA", at positions 28 to 523 of the family's 1533-position model. The record is from RNAcentral.